CUAUUAUGUCUAAAGGUUACUGCUCUUUCCAAUAUUGAGGCUAAAAAGAGAGUUGAGUUUCUUGAGGCUGUUAGUGGCACAAUGGAUGCUCAUCUGCGCUACUUCAAACAAGGAUAUGAGCUAUUGCAUCAGAUGGAGCCUUACAUCCACCAGGUUCUCGCAUAUGCGCAGCAAUCAAGAGAGAGGUCCAACUAUGAGCAUGCAGCCCUUACGGAGAGGAU
Molecule: long non-coding RNA, 221 nt
Organism: Dendrobium catenatum
Lineage: Eukaryota; Viridiplantae; Streptophyta; Magnoliopsida; Asparagales; Orchidaceae
Exons: 3
Source: RefSeq, a predicted model, not a curated record